RNAcentral lists this ribosomal RNA (406 nucleotides) under uncultured bacterium. RNAcentral describes it as "partial 16S ribosomal RNA". It matches the Rfam family "Bacterial small subunit ribosomal RNA", at positions 30 to 526 of the family's 1533-position model. The record is from RNAcentral.
AUUGAACGCUGGCGGCAGGCCUAACACAUGCAAGUCGAGCGCGCGGCGGACGGGUGAGUAAUGUGUGGGGAACUGCCCGCUAGAGGGGGGUAACUACUGGAAAAGGUGGCUAAUACCGCAUAUUGCCUGAUGAGUACAUAUGGGAGUGUCUAGUGGGUAGGGUAAUGGCUUACCCAGGCGCCGAUCCCUAGCUGGUCUGAGAGGAUGAUAAGCCACACUGGGACUGAGACACGGCCCAGACUCCUACGGGAGGCAGCAGUGGGGAAUAUUGCACAAUGGGCGCAAGCCUGAUGCAGCCAUGCCGCGUGUAUGAAGAAGGCCUUGGGGUUGUAAAGUACUUUCAGACGGGAGGCGUUACCGACAGAAGAAGCACCGGCUAACUCCGUGCCAGCAGCCGCGGUAAUUC